This 253-nucleotide ribosomal RNA is filed under the name uncultured bacterium. Its description in RNAcentral is "partial 16S ribosomal RNA". It matches the Rfam family "Bacterial small subunit ribosomal RNA", at positions 524 to 776 of the family's 1533-position model. The record is from RNAcentral.
UACGUAGGGUGCGAGCGUUAAUCGGAAUUACUGGGCGUAAAGCGUGCGCAGGCGGUUCGUUAUGUCCGAUGUGAAAGCCCCGAGCUCAACUUGGGAAUGGCAUUGGAAACUGGCGGGCCGGAGUGUGGCAGAGGGGGGUGGAAUUCCACGUGUAGCAGUGAAAUGCGUAGAGAUGUGGAGGAACACCGAUGGCGAAGGCAGCCCCCUGGGCCAACACUGACGCUCAGGCACGAAAGCGUGGGGAGCAAACAGG